Long non-coding RNA from Gasterosteus aculeatus aculeatus (three-spined stickleback), 539 nucleotides. Lineage: Eukaryota; Metazoa; Chordata; Actinopteri; Perciformes; Gasterosteidae. The record is from Ensembl.
AUUUCCAAAAAAGUAUUCCAACAAAUACACCGCCUGUGGGCUUGAGAGGUGGUCUCGCCAGUGAUGACUGCGGUUAUCGCAGUGAACAGAGCGAGGCCAUUCAUCAACUGGCUGCGACACGACCACCUCGGAUCGCACGGAGCCCAAUCAAAGGCUGCAUCAGCUGGUUGCGGAUUCAGCUGGAUGUCUGUGGACUGUCUGGAGACCAGCAAGCAACGGAAGGAACUAUGGAAACUGCACCCUGUGGACUCGAAGGACUCGCAACUCUCGCCAAACACGCGAAAUUGAAUAAGAUGCUUGCAGAUGAAUCUGUCAGAUCCUUUGACGGGCGAUUCCUCUGAGCCACCGAUGACGACGAGACAUUUGGUAAGAGGCGGCACCAGCUGAGCAUGACUUCAAUCUAAUUCUGUGCCAGCUUCAGUAAAAGUCUCAGGGCCCAAACGAUUCUGUCCAGUGGUCAGAGAAGAAACAGGGGAAAUGUCAUGGCGCCGGCGGCUACUUAGAAGAAUCAACAGAAAUGCUUAUUUCCUGCAAAGUAA